RNAcentral lists this ribosomal RNA (404 nucleotides) under uncultured bacterium. RNAcentral's name for it is "bacterial SSU rRNA". It matches the Rfam family "Bacterial small subunit ribosomal RNA", at positions 355 to 776 of the family's 1533-position model. The record is from RNAcentral.
UGGGGAAUAUUGCACAAUGGAGGCAACUCUGAUGCAGCAAUGUCGCGUGAGUGAAGAAGGCCCUUGGGUCGUAAAGCUCUUUUAUGGGGGAAGAUGAUGACGGUACCCCAAGAAUAAGCACCGGCUAACUAUGUGCCAGCAGCCGCGGUAAUACAUAGGGUGCGAGCGUUGUUCGGAAUUACUGGGCGUAAAGGGCGCGCAGGCGGAAUAGUAAGUCGGAGGUGAAAGCCCGGGGCUCAACCCCGGAGGGUCUUUCGAAACUGCUAAUCUAGAGAGGGUCAGGGGCCGGCAGAAUUCCUGGUGUAGAGGUGAAAUUCGUAGAUAUCAGGAGGAAUACCGGUGGCGAAAGCGGCCGGCUGGGACCACUCUGACGCUGAGGCGCGAAAGCGUGGGGAGCAAACAGG